Molecule: ribosomal RNA, 496 nt
Filed under: uncultured bacterium
Lineage: Bacteria
Description: partial 16S ribosomal RNA
Rfam family: Bacterial small subunit ribosomal RNA
Source: RNAcentral
GAUGAACGCUGGCGGCGUGCCUAAUACAUGCAAGUCGAGCGAACGGACGAGAAGCUUGCUUCUCUGAUGUUAGCGGCGGACGGGUGAGUAACACGUGGAUAACCUACCUAUAAGACUGGGAUAACUUCGGGAAACCGGAGCUAAUACCGGAUAAUAUUUUGAACCGCAUGGUUCAAAAGUGAAAGACGGUCUUGCUGUCACUUAUAGAUGGAUCCGCGCUGCAUUAGCUAGUUGGUAAGGUAACGGCUUACCAAGGCAACGAUGCAUAGCCGACCUGAGAGGGUGAUCGGCCACGCUGGAACUGAGACACGGCCCAGACUCCUACGGGAGGCAGCAGUAGGGAAUCUUCCGCAAUGGGCGAAAGCCUGACGGAGCAACGCCGCGUGAGUGAUGAAGGUCUUCGGAUCGUAAAACUCUGUUAUUAGGGAAGAACAUAUGUGUAAGUAACUGUGCACAUCUUGACGGUACCUAAUCAGAAAGCCACGGCGAACUACGU